Molecule: ribosomal RNA, 378 nt
Filed under: uncultured bacterium
Lineage: Bacteria
Description: bacterial SSU rRNA
Rfam family: Bacterial small subunit ribosomal RNA
Source: RNAcentral
UAAGACGGAGGGUGCAAACGUUGUUCGGAAUCACUGGGCAUAAAGCGCACGUAGGCGGCACACUAAGUCAGGUGUGAAAGCCCCCGGCUUAACCGGGGAACGGCUCCUGAUACUGGUGUGCUAGAGGACGGUUGGGGUGAGUGGAACUCCUGGUGGAGCGGUGAAAUGCGUAGAUAUCAGGAGGAACACCGGUGGCGAAAGCGGCUCACUGGACCGUUUCUGACGCUGAGGUGCGAAAGCUAGGGUAGCGAACGGGAUUAGAUACCCCGGUAGUCCUAGCCGUAAACGAUGGGCACUAGGCAGGGGGAAUGCCUAUGGUUUUCUCUGCCGUAGCAAAUGUGUUAAGUGCCCCGCCUGGGGAGUACGCUCGCAAGGGUA